GGAACAUUUGCCCUGAGCUAACAUCUGUUGCCAAUCUUUCUCUUUUUGCUUGAGGAAGAUUUGCCCUGAGCUUGCCUCUGUGCCAACCUCCCUGUAUUUUCUGUGUCCGCCAAUGAGUAAUGUAGGUCUGUUCCUGGGAACCGAACCCUGGCCGCUGAAGCACAGCACUCCAAACUCAACCACCAGGCCAUGGGGCCAGCCCCUAAGCUAUACAGUUUUAAUUUUCUAUGUGAACUGUUUGGCAUAGCAUUAUAUGUUGUUGUAUUUGCUGUGGAAUAUUUAUAUUGAAUUCUUACAAAGCUGUGGUCUCUAUUUCCUUUGAAUUGUAAGUCUAAUUUUAGCCUUUGUUACCCUAAUAUAACUGCCUUCCUCUCCCUCUCUCCCCUUCUAUUAGUUCUAAUUCUCUACCCUCCUCUUAGGAGGAAAAUAUUUACCUAAGUUUAGGAGGGUAAAUUUAAUUAAAAUUAAAGAUUCUUGCUUUGCAAAGCAUGCUCUGCGACCACGCACACAUGAUUCCCUGUGCUGACUCAUCAUUCUCUCCCAGGACCACCCUCUUCUCUAACAUCUUCCUACGUUAACCUUCCACCUCUGACUCUGAUUCACUUUACUCUGACUUUAGGUUCUGGGAGUACAUGCUAAGUAGUUUCUCUUUGUUGUGGGUUAAAUUAUGUCCCGUCAAUAGAUAUUCAAUUCGUAAUCCCUAGUACCUGUGAAUCUGAUGUUAUUUGGAAAUAGGGUCUUUGUGGAUGUCAGCAAGUUAAGAUGAGAUCUUCCUGGAUUAUGGUGGGCUCUAGUCCAAGGACUGAUGCUCUCACAAGAAGAGGGAAAUUUGGACAUAGACACACAGGGAGACUCCUUUGUGAAGAUGAAGGCAGAGAUUGGAGUGAUGCAUCUACAAGCCAAGGAACACCAAGGAUUGCCAGUAACCACUAGAAGCUAGAACAGAAGCACAGAGCUUGUUCUCCCUUAGAUCUUCCAGAAGGAACCAACCUGGCCAACAUCUUGGUUUUGGACUUCCAGCCUCCAGAAUGUUGCAGACUAAAUGAUUGCUUCAUUUGAAGCCUCCUGACUGCCAUGGAACCAUCUGCUAUGUGCUCCUGUGAAGGAAUAGCUUCUUAACUAUGCACUUUCAUCAUUGCUGUACAUUCUUCUAAGCUUGGCUCAAAGAAGAAGGGAUGGCAUUAUUUCUUAUGGAGUGUUACAGUGGCGACCGAGGUGACACUGAAGGAAAAUUCUGUGACAGUAUGUUAAGUAAGAUAUUACUGACAGCCCUGCUGAGCGGCGAUGCCGAACUGCACGUCGUGGAUCUCUUCUCACCCCUAUAGCCCCCACCAAAUGGUUUCCAUUUGCGGCAUGUGGAACCAGAGUGGAAAGAUGAAUGGAAAAUUAUGUUCUUUUUCAAAUUCACUUGUUUGCAUACCAUUAGUAGGCCUGAGAUGAAGGCUCAAAUUUGGCAAAAAGGUGCAUUUAUCAACCCAGUAUCAUACUGCUGUACCUUUCCAUAUGGUAGGUAAGAAAAUCAAGAGGUGCUGAUAGGCUUGAGCUCUAGACCAGAAUUUGCCACAAGUCACUUUUCUAUGGAUUGGAUUUCUUUGUAGAAAAGGCUGGAGCUGGACUAUAACAAAGUUUCUAGAGCCCUUUCUAGCUCUAACUUUCUAUGAUUCCGAAAGCCCUGAGCUUUGUGCUUUAAUAGCCCAGAAGACAAAGUGAGUAGAAUGCAGAAUAGAAACUUCUCUGUGUGCUACACAUAUUGAUGCAGCCUAGUAGGGAAAAGAUCAGUGGGUCACAAGUCAGGAGAUCUGGCCAUGGUUCAGCCUUGAAGCAAGUCAUUGACUCAAUCCAUGUCAGCUUCCUCACCUCCUUCACAAGGUUGUAUCCAAGCUCUAAUGGAAUUAUGCUACUGAAAGAUGAUUAAUUGCUCCAACAAAUAUUGCACAACUGCCCUAUGCUAGACACUAUGCCAAGUGCUGGGGAUUCAAUGGUGGGUAAAGCGUAGUCUUUGUUUUGGAGGAGGACAUCUAGUAGGGAAGAUAGAUAAGUGAAUGGGUAACUAUAGAGAAGUGUACCAGGGGCUUUGAUGGGCACAGGUACAGGGUGUGAUAAAAGUAUAGGGUGAUAUAAAAAGACAGGGUGAUAUAAAAGCAUAGAGGAGGAGCAGCUCACCCAGCUGGGCGCAUGGAAGGCUCCAGGAAGAAGUGGAUUCUA
Molecule: long non-coding RNA, 2205 nt
Organism: Equus caballus (horse)
Lineage: Eukaryota; Metazoa; Chordata; Mammalia; Perissodactyla; Equidae
Source: Ensembl